This 74-nucleotide transfer RNA is filed under the name Candidatus Aenigmatarchaeota archaeon. Its description in RNAcentral is "tRNA-Thr". It matches the Rfam family "tRNA". From Rfam's summary of the family: Transfer RNA (tRNA) molecules are approximately 80 nucleotides in length. Their secondary structure includes four short double-helical elements and three loops (D, anti-codon, and T loops). Lineage: Archaea; Nanobdellati; Candidatus Aenigmatarchaeota. The record is from RNAcentral.
GCCUCAGUAGCUCAGUCCGGUAGAGCGCCCGCUUUGUAAGCGGAUGGUCGUGGGUUCAAUUCCCACCUGAGGCU